UAAAGAAAGCGUAAUAGCUCACUGGUCGAGUCGGCCUGCGCGGAAGAUGUAACGGGGCUAAACCAUGCACCGAAGCUGCGGCAGCGACACUAUGUGUUGUUGGGUAGGGGAGCGUUCUGUAAGCCUGUGAAGGUGUACUGUGAGGUAUGCUGGAGGUAUCAGAAGUGCGAAUGCUGACAUAAGUAACGAUAAAGCGGGUGAAAAGCCCGCUCGCCGGAAGAC
Molecule: ribosomal RNA, 222 nt
Filed under: Escherichia coli
Lineage: Bacteria; Pseudomonadati; Pseudomonadota; Gammaproteobacteria; Enterobacterales; Enterobacteriaceae
Description: partial 23S ribosomal RNA
Rfam family: Bacterial large subunit ribosomal RNA
Source: RNAcentral